RNAcentral lists this ribosomal RNA (448 nucleotides) under uncultured bacterium. RNAcentral describes it as "bacterial SSU rRNA". It matches the Rfam family "Bacterial small subunit ribosomal RNA", at positions 330 to 794 of the family's 1533-position model. The record is from RNAcentral.
ACCAGACUCCUACGGGAGGCAGCAGUGGGGGAUAUUGCACAAUGGGGGGAACCCUGAUGCAGCGACGCCGCGUGGGUGAAGGAGUGCUUCGGCAUGUAAAGCCCUAUCGGCAGGGAAGAAGCAAGACGGUACCUGACUAAGAAGCCCCGGCUAACUACGUGCCAGCAGCCGCGGUAAUACGUAGGGGGCAAGCGUUAUCCGGAUUUACUGGGUGUAAAGGGAGCGUAGACGGUUGUGCAAGUCUGAAGUGAAAGCCCGCGGCUCAACUGCGGAACGGCUUUGGAAACUGUGUAACUGGAGUGCUGGAGAGGUAAGCGGAAUUCCUGGUGUAGCGGUGAAAUGCGUAGAGAUCAGGAGGAACACCGGCGGCGAAGGCGGCUUACUGGACAGUAACUGACGUUGAGGCUCGAAAGCGUGGGGAGCAAACAGGAUUAGAUACCCUGGUAAU